GAUGAACGCUGGCGGCGUGCCUAAUACAUGCAAGUCGAGCGAACGGACGAGGAGCUUGCUUCUCUGAUGUUAGCGGCGGACGGGUGAGUAACACGUGGAUAACCUACCUAUAAGACUGGGAUAACUUCGGGAAACCGGAGCUAAUACCGGAUAAUAUUUUGAACCGCAUGGUUCAAAAGUGAAAGACGGUCUUGCUGUCACUUAUAGAUGGAUCCGCGCUGCAUUAGCUAGUUGGUAAGGUAACGGCUUACCAAGGCAACGAUGCAUAGCCGACCUGAGAGGGUGAUCGGCCACACUGGAGCUGAGACACGGUCCAGACUCCUACGGGAGGCAGCAGUAGGGAAUCUUCCGCAAUGGGCGAAAGCCUGACGGAGCAACGCCGCGUGAGUGAUGAAGGUCUUCGGAUCGUAAAACUCUGUUAUUAGGGAAGAACAUAUGUGUAAGUAACUGUGCACAUCUUGACGGUACCUAAUCAGAAAGCCACGGCUAACUACGUGCCAGCAGCCGCGGUAAUACGUAGGUGGCAAGCGUUAUCCGGAAUUAUUGGGCGUAAAGCGCGCGUAGGCGGUUUUUUAAGUCUGAUGUGAAAGCCCACGGCUCAACCGUGGAGGGUCAUUGGAAACUGGAAAACUUGAGUGCAGAAGAGGAAAGUGGAAUUCCAUGUGUAGCGGUGAAAUGCGCAGAGAUAUGGAGGAACACCAGUGGCGAAGGCGACUUUCUGGUCUGUAACAGACGCUGAUGUGCGAAAGCGUGGGGAUCAAACAGGAUUAGAUACCCUGGUAGUCCACGCCGUAAACGAUGAGUGCUAAGUGUUAGGGGGUUUCCGCCCCUUAGUGCUGCAGCUAACGCAUUAAGCACUCCGCCUGGGGAGUACGACCGCAAGGUUGAAACUCAAAGGAAUUGACGGGGACCCGCACAAGCGGUGGAGCAUGUGGUUUAAUUCGAAGCAACGCGAAGAACCUUACCAAAUCUUGACAUCCUCUGACCCCUCUAGAGAUAGAGUUUUCCCCUUCGGGGGACAGAGUGACAGGUGGUGCAUGGUUGUCGUCAGCUCGUGUCGUGAGAUGUUGGGUUAAGUCCCGCAACGAGCGCAACCCUUAAGCUUAGUUGCCAUCAUUAAGUUGGGCACUCUAAGUUGACUGCCGGUGACAAACCGGAGGAAGGUGGGGAUGACGUCAAAUCAUCAUGCCCCUUAUGAUUUGGGCUACACACGUGCUACAAUGGACAAUACAAAGGGCAGCGAAACUGCGAGGUCAAGCAAAUCCCAUAAAGUUGUUCUCAGUUCGGAUUGUAGUCUGCAACUCGACUAUAUGAAGCUGGAAUCGCUAGUAAUCGUAGAUCAGCAUGCUACGGUGAAUACGUUCCCGGGUCU
RNAcentral lists this ribosomal RNA (1372 nucleotides) under uncultured bacterium. Its description in RNAcentral is "bacterial SSU rRNA". It matches the Rfam family "Bacterial small subunit ribosomal RNA", at positions 28 to 1381 of the family's 1533-position model. The record is from RNAcentral.